Molecule: ribosomal RNA, 494 nt
Filed under: uncultured Streptococcus sp.
Lineage: Bacteria; Bacillati; Bacillota; Bacilli; Lactobacillales; Streptococcaceae
Description: bacterial SSU rRNA
Rfam family: Bacterial small subunit ribosomal RNA
Source: RNAcentral
AGAGUUUGAUCCUGGCUCAGGACGAACGCUGGCGGCGUGCCUAAUACAUGCAAGUAGAACGCUGAAGAGAGGAGCUUGCUCUUCUUGGAAGAGUUGCGAACGGGUGAGUAACGCGUAGGUAACCUGCCUUGUAGCGGGGGAUAACUAUUGGAAACGAUAGCUAAUACCGCAUAACAAUGGAUGACACAUGUCAUUUAUUUGAAAGGGGCAACUGCUCCACUACAAGAUGGACCUGCGUUGUAUUAGCUAGUAGGUGAGGUAACGGCUCACCUAGGCGACGAUACAUAGCCGACCUGAGAGGGUGAUCGGCCACACUGGGACUGAGACACGGCCCAGACUCCUACGGGAGGCAGCAGUAGGGAAUCUUCGGCAAUGGGGGCAACCCUGACCGAGCAACGCCGCGUGAGUGAAGAAGGUUUUCGGAUCGUAAAGCUCUGUUGUAAGUCAAGAACGAGUGUGAGAGUGGAAAGUUCACACUGUGACGGUAGCUUACC